AGAGUUUGAUCCUGGCUCAUAUUGAACGCUGGCGGCAUGCCUUACACAUGCUAGUCGAACGGCAGCACGGGGGCAACCCUGGUGGCUAGUGGCGAACGGGUGAGUAAUAUAUCGGAACGUACCCUAGAGUGGGGGAUAACGUAUCGAAAGUUACGCUAAUACCGCAUACGAUCUACGGAUGAAAGCGGGGGAUCGCAAGACCUCGCGCUCAUGGAGCGGCCGAUAUCUGAUUAGCUAGUUGGUAGGGUAAAAGCCUACCAAGGCAUCGAUCAGUAGCUGGUCUGAGAGGACGACCAGCCACACUGGGACUGAGACACGGCCCAGACUCCUACGGGAGGCAGCAGUGGGGAAUCUUGCGCUAAUGCGGGAAACCGUGACGCAACGACGCCGCGUGGGGGAAGAAGGCCUUCGGGCUGUAAACCUCUUUCAGGAGGGACGAAGCUACUCGGGUUAAUAGCCCAGAGGGUGACGGUACCUUCAGAAGAAGCCCCGGCUAACUACGUGCCAGCAGCCGCGGUAAUACGUAGGGGGCAAGCGUUGUCCGGAUUUAUUGGGCGUAAAGAGCGUGUAGGCGGCCUGACAGGUCUGCUGUGAAAACUCGAGGCUCAACCUCUAGAUGUCAGCGGAAACCGUCUGGCUAGAGUCCGGAAGAUGAGAGUGGAAUUCCUGGUGUAGCGGUGAAAUGCGCAGAUAUCAGGAAGAACACCUAUGGCGAAGGCAGCUCUCUGGGACGGUACUGACGCUGAGACGCGAAAGCGUGCGGAGCGAACAGGAUUAGAUACCCUGGUAGUCCACGCCCUAUACGAUGCAUACUUGGUGUGGGUAGUUCAUUCUAUCCGUGCCGGAGCUAACGCGUUAAGUAUGCCGCCUGGGGAGUACGGUCGCAAGGCUAAACUCAAAGGAAU
This 905-nucleotide ribosomal RNA is filed under the name uncultured bacterium. RNAcentral describes it as "bacterial SSU rRNA". It matches the Rfam family "Bacterial small subunit ribosomal RNA", at positions 8 to 910 of the family's 1533-position model. The record is from RNAcentral.